Molecule: ribosomal RNA, 729 nt
Filed under: uncultured bacterium
Lineage: Bacteria
Description: bacterial SSU rRNA
Rfam family: Bacterial small subunit ribosomal RNA
Source: RNAcentral
UGGCGGCGUGCCUAACACAUGCAAGUCGAACGAGAAAGUGGAGCAAUCCAUGAGUAAAGUGGCGCACGGGUGAGUAACACGUGACUGACCUACCUUUUAGUGGGGGAUAACCUAGGGAAACCUGGGCUAAUACCGCAUAACACUUACGAGUCAAAGUCCGCCUCGGCGGACGCUGAAAGAGGGGGUCGCGGCCGAUUAGCUAGUUGGCGGGGUAAUGGCCCACCAAGGCGAUGAUCGGUAUCCGGCCUGAGAGGGCGCACGGACACACUGGAACUGAAACACGGUCCAGACUCCUACGGGAGGCAGCAGUGGGGAAUUUUGCGCAAUGGGGGAAACCCUGACGCAGCAACGCCGCGUGGAGGAUGAAGUCCCUUGGGACGUAAACUCCUUUCGACCGGGAAGAUAAUGACGGUACCGGAAGAAGAAGCCCCGGCUAACUUCGUACCAGCAGCCGCGGUAAUACGAGGGGGGCAAGCGUUGUUCGGAAUUAUUGGGCGUAAAGGGUGCGUAGGUGGUUCGGCAAGUCUUGUGUGAAAUUUUCAGGCUCAACUUGAAGUCUGCACAAGAAACUGCCGGGCUUGAGUAUGGGAGAGGUGAGUGGAAUUUCCGGUGUAGCGGUGAAAUGCGUAGAUAUCGGAAGGAACACCUGUGGCGAAAGCGGCUCACUGGACCAUUACUGACACUGAGGCACGAAAGCUAGGGGAGCAAACAGGAUUAGAUACCCUGGUA